ACCUCUCAACCCCGCUCUCUUUAAUUAGAAAGUAGUUUAGGGCUUGGAUCGUGCUGCGUGUGGUUAAGUCCACUGCGGUGAAAUACAACAAGCUGGAUCCUUAUCUUGCGGCUUGACCCGUUGUUAUAAACUUGAAAACCAAUGGGAACGCAACUAAAGGAAUGGGCUUACCAUAAAUUUAUUACUACAAGUGCAUU
RNAcentral lists this unclassified non-coding RNA (197 nucleotides) under Cystobasidiopsis lactophilus. Its description in RNAcentral is "ITS 2". The record is from RNAcentral. Lineage: Eukaryota; Fungi; Basidiomycota; Agaricostilbomycetes; Agaricostilbales; Chionosphaeraceae.